CUACAAAGCAUUACAUGGGCUUGCUCCUACCUAUCUUUCCGAUUUGGUCCUGCCGUACAUACCUACACGUACGCUACGGUCACAAGACGCAGGCCUCCUAAUUGUCCCUAGAAUUUCUAAGCAAACGGCUGGAGGACCUGAGCCCUAGGACCAUGCCUCAGGAUUACCUGGCAUGAUGACUCCUUGCUGUCCCCAGUCCACCUGGCCGUGCUGCUGCUCCAGUUUCAACUGUUCUGCCUGCGGCUAUGGAACCCUGACCUGUUCACCGGACGUGCUUGUUGCACCCUCGACAACUACUAUCAUUAUUAUUAUUUGACCAUGCUGGUCAUUUAUGAACAUUUUAACAUCUUGACCAUGUUCUGUUAUAAUAUCCACCCGGCACAGCCAGAAGAGGACUGGCCACACCUCAUAGCCUGGUUCCUCUCUAGGUUUCUUCCUAGGUUUUUGGCCUUUCUAGGGAGUUUUUCCUAGGGAGUUUUUCCUAGCCACCGUGCUUCUUUCACAUGCUUUGCUUGCUGUUUGGGGUUUUAGGCUGGGUUUCUGUACAGCACUUUGAGAAUAUCAGCUGAUGUACGAAGGGC
RNAcentral lists this long non-coding RNA (581 nucleotides) under Salmo salar (Atlantic salmon). RNAcentral describes it as "lncRNA (ENSSSAG00000115068.1)". The record is from RNAcentral. Lineage: Eukaryota; Metazoa; Chordata; Actinopteri; Salmoniformes; Salmonidae.